This 250-nucleotide ribosomal RNA is filed under the name uncultured Gardnerella sp. RNAcentral describes it as "partial 16S ribosomal RNA". It matches the Rfam family "Bacterial small subunit ribosomal RNA", at positions 104 to 355 of the family's 1533-position model. Lineage: Bacteria; Bacillati; Actinomycetota; Actinomycetes; Bifidobacteriales; Bifidobacteriaceae. The record is from RNAcentral.
GGGUGAGUAAUGCGUGACCAACCUGCCCCAUGCUCCAGAAUAGCUCUUGGAAACGGGUGGUAAUGCUGGAUGCUCCAACUUGACGCAUGUCUUGUUGGGAAAGUGUUUAGUGGCAUGGGAUGGGGUCGCGUCCUAUCAGCUUGUAGGCGGGGUAAUGGCCCACCUAGGCUUCGACGGGUAGCCGGCCUGAGAGGGCGGACGGCCACAUUGGGACUGAGAUACGGCCCAGACUCCUACGGGAGGCAGCAGC